GAAAAUUUAAAAUGUUAUUGUAUCGACGGGUUAAGAUAAAUACAGACAACAGUAGUAUACCGCUGUUCGAAAUUCAUAAAUCGAUUGAGAAAAAAAACAAAUCCGGGUUACAAACAAAAACUGAGGGAAACGCAUCAAAUAUAAGAGGAGAACUACGACACAACAGAAACACAACAUUAAAAUGUAUCACACACAGAAACGAACAAUAAUAUAACACUAGCCAUUUUCCUGGCUUGGUACUGGACAUUUUAAGAAAAAAAAUGUGGGUUGAACCUGGUUUUGUGACAUGCCGAACCUCCCGCUUUUAUGACAAUGUUAACUAUAACAUACAAAUGACAACAUUACAUGACAGGACUACAACACAAAUAAAUGGAAGAACAUAUAGG
This 386-nucleotide long non-coding RNA is filed under the name Mytilus galloprovincialis (Mediterranean mussel). Lineage: Eukaryota; Metazoa; Mollusca; Bivalvia; Mytilida; Mytilidae. The record is from RNAcentral.